AACGAACGCUGGCGGCAGGCCUAACACAUGCAAGUCGAGCGCCCCGCAAGGGGAGCGGCGGACGGGUGAGUAACGCGUGGGAACGUGCCUCUUGCUACGGAAUAGCCUCGGGAAACUGGGAGUAAUACCGUAUGUGCCCUACGGGGGAAAGAUUUAUCGGCAAGAGAUCGGCCCGCGUUGGAUUAGGUAGUUGGUGGGGUAAUGGCCUACCAAGCCGACGAUCCAUAGCUGGUUUGAGAGGAUGAUCAGCCACACUGGGACUGAGACACGGCCCAGACUCCUACGGGAGGCAGCAGUGGGGAAUCUUAGACAAUGGGCGCAAGCCUGAUCUAGCCAUGCCGCGUGGACGAUGAAGGCCUUAGGGUUGUAAAGUCCUUUCAGAUGGGAAGAUAAUGACGGUACCAUCAGAAGAAGCCCCGGCUAACUCCGUGCCAGCAGCCGCGGUAAUGUCGAUAU
RNAcentral lists this ribosomal RNA (456 nucleotides) under uncultured bacterium. Its description in RNAcentral is "bacterial SSU rRNA". It matches the Rfam family "Bacterial small subunit ribosomal RNA", at positions 29 to 532 of the family's 1533-position model. The record is from RNAcentral.